GAUGAAGAACGUAGCGAAAUGCGAUAAGUAGUGUGAAUUGCAGAAUUCAGUGAAUCAUCGAAUCUUUGAACGCACAUUGCGCCCCUUGGUAUUCCAUGGGGCAUGCCUGUUCGAGCGUCAUUUGUACCUUCAAGCUUUGCUUGGUGUUGGGUGUUUGUCCUGAGGGACUCGCCUUAAAGUAAUUGGUAGCCAGUGUUUGGUUUUGAAGCGCAGCACAAGUCGCGAUUCAAAGCUAUACGCCCGCUUCCACAAGCCUUUUUCACUUUUGACCUCGGAUCAGGUAGGGAUACCCGCUGAACUUAAGCAUAUCAAUAAGCGGAGGA
This 323-nucleotide unclassified non-coding RNA is filed under the name soil metagenome. RNAcentral describes it as "partial contains 5.8S ribosomal RNA, internal transcribed spacer 2, and large subunit ribosomal RNA". The stretch from base 1 to 120 matches the Rfam family "5.8S ribosomal RNA", at positions 35 to 154 of the family's 154-position model. The record is from RNAcentral.